RNAcentral lists this ribosomal RNA (254 nucleotides) under uncultured bacterium. RNAcentral describes it as "partial 16S ribosomal RNA". It matches the Rfam family "Bacterial small subunit ribosomal RNA", at positions 524 to 777 of the family's 1533-position model. The record is from RNAcentral.
UACGAAGGGGGCUAGCGUUGCUCGGAAUCACUGGGCGUAAAGGGUGCGUAGGCGGGUCUUUAAGUCAGGGGUGAAAUCCUGGAGCUCAACUCCAGAACUGCCUUUGAUACUGAAGAUCUUGAGUUCGGGAGAGGUGAGUGGAACUGCGAGUGUAGAGGUGAAAUUCGUAGAUAUUCGCAAGAACACCGGUGGCGAAGGCGGCUCACUGGCCCGAUACUGACGCUGAGGCACGAAAGCGUGGGGAGCAAACAGGG